GAUGAACGCUGGCGGCGUGCCUAACACAUGCAAGUCGAACGGUAACAAUUUAAAGGUUUCUUCUUAAUGAACUUGAUUGGCUUAGUGGUUGAGGGGUCAUUGGAACCUGAUUUUUCUUCGUUGUUCAAGGAGGUAAACUUUGGCUACUACGACUAAUACCCUAUGGGUUCAAAUAAUCGAAUUUUCAUUCUUUCACGGAUUUAUCGGCCGAUGUUGGAUUAGCUAGUUGGUGGGGUAAAGGUCCACCAAGGGGACGACACGUAGCUGGUCUGAGAGGAUGAUCAGAGACACUGGAACUGAGACACGGUCCAGACUCCUACGGGAGGCAGCAGUGGGGAAUAUUGGACAAUGGGCGCAAGCCUGAUCCAGCCAUACCGCGUGGGUGAAGAAGGCCUUCGGGUUGUAAAGCCCUUUUGUUGGGAAAGAAAAGCAGAAGGUUAAUACCCCGCUGUUCUGACGGUACCAAAAGAAUAAGCACCGGCUAACUUCGUG
Molecule: ribosomal RNA, 492 nt
Filed under: uncultured bacterium
Lineage: Bacteria
Description: partial 16S ribosomal RNA
Rfam family: Bacterial small subunit ribosomal RNA
Source: RNAcentral